CAGAGUUGCAAAACUCCCCAAACCAUCGCGAACCCACCCCUAAACAGUUGCUUCGGCGGCGCCCGAAGGCCCCUAGCGGCCGGACCGCCCGCCGGGGACCCCCCAAACCCUUGUUUUUACCAAACGGCCCCUCUGAGUACUGUACUUUAAAAUAAGUCA
Molecule: unclassified non-coding RNA, 159 nt
Filed under: uncultured Ascomycota
Lineage: Eukaryota; Fungi; Ascomycota
Description: sequence contains ITS1
Source: RNAcentral